RNAcentral lists this ribosomal RNA (677 nucleotides) under Pseudomonas sp. MR-CH-I8. RNAcentral's name for it is "bacterial SSU rRNA". It matches the Rfam family "Bacterial small subunit ribosomal RNA", at positions 34 to 706 of the family's 1533-position model. Lineage: Bacteria; Pseudomonadati; Pseudomonadota; Gammaproteobacteria; Pseudomonadales; Pseudomonadaceae. The record is from RNAcentral.
GGCUGGCGGGAGGCCUACUCAUGCAGUCGAGAGCGGAUGACGGGAGCUUGCUCCUUGAUUCAGCGGCGGACGGGUGAGUAAUGCCUAGGAAUCUGCCUGGUAGUGGGGGACAACGUUUCGAAAGGAACGCUAAUACCGCAUACGUCCUACGGGAGAAAGCAGGGGACCUUCGGGCCUUGCGCUAUCAGAUGAGCCUAGGUCGGAUUAGCUUGUUGGUGAGGUAAUGGCUCACCAAGGCGACGAUCCGUAACUGGUCUGAGAGGAUGAUCAGUCACACUGGAACUGAGACACGGUCCAGACUCCUACGGGAGGCAGCAGUGGGGAAUAUUGGACAAUGGGCGAAAGCCUGAUCCAGCCAUGCCGCGUGUGUGAAGAAGGUCUUCGGAUUGUAAAGCACUUUAAGUUGGGAGGAAGGGUUGUAGAUUAAUACUCUGCAAUUUUGACGUUACCGACAGAAUAAGCACCGGCUAACUCUGUGCCAGCAGCCGCGGUAAUACAGAGGGUGCAAGCGUUAAUCGGAAUUACUGGGCGUAAAGCGCGCGUAGGUGGUUUGUUAAGUUGGAUGUGAAAGCCCCGGGCUCAACCUGGGAACUGCAUCCAAAACUGGCAAGCUAGAGUACGGUAGAGGGUGGUGGAAUUUCCUGUGUAGCGGUGAAAUGCGUAGAUAUAGGAAGGAA